Molecule: ribosomal RNA, 253 nt
Filed under: uncultured bacterium
Lineage: Bacteria
Description: partial 16S ribosomal RNA
Rfam family: Bacterial small subunit ribosomal RNA
Source: RNAcentral
UACGUAGGGGGCAAGCGUUGUCCGGAAUCAUUGGGCGUAAAGCGCGUGUAGGCGGCCCGGUAAGUCCGCUGUGAAAGUCCAGGGCUCAACCCUGGGAUGCCGGUGGAUACUGUCGGGCUCGAGUCCGGAAGAGGAGUGUGGAAUUCCUGGUGUAGCGGUGAAAUGCGCAGAUAUCAGGAAGAACACCGAUGGCGAAGGCAGUUCUCUGGGACGGUACUGACGCUGAGACGCGAAAGCGUGGGGAGCGAACAGG